AUCAACAGCCGCCCUAGAAGCUCUUAGUGUUUUGUAUAGGUAACAGCAAUGUCCGUACAAGGAAGUACGGACAAGGUGCACCUGAGCCCGGAUGGCGAAUGUGCACCGGUUGCGUGAGAUUACAAAAACUGAAUCAAAACACCUAGAGCUACUUGGCGGCUGUUACC
Non-coding RNA from Clostridiales bacterium 41_12_two_minus, 167 nucleotides. The record is from Rfam. Lineage: Bacteria; Bacillati; Bacillota; Clostridia; Eubacteriales.